This 447-nucleotide ribosomal RNA is filed under the name uncultured bacterium. RNAcentral's name for it is "partial 16S ribosomal RNA". It matches the Rfam family "Bacterial small subunit ribosomal RNA", at positions 29 to 523 of the family's 1533-position model. The record is from RNAcentral.
AACGAACGCUGGCGGCAGGCUUAACACAUGCAAGUCGAACGCCCCGCAAGGGGAGUGGCAGACGGGUGAGUAACGCGUGGGAAUCUACCGUGCCCUGCGGAAUAGCUCCGGGAAACUGGAAUUAAUACCGCAUACGCCCUACGGGGGAAAGAUUUAUCGGGGUAUGAUGAGCCCGCGUUGGAUUAGCUAGUUGGUGGGGUAAAGGCCUACCAAGGCGACGAUCCAUAGCUGGUCUGAGAGGAUGAUCAGCCACAUUGGGACUGAGACUCGGCCCAAACUCCUACGGGAGGCAGCAGUGGGGAAUAUUGGACAAUGGGCGCAAGCCUGAUCCAGCCAUGCCGCGUGAGUGAUGAAGGCCUUAGGGUUGUAAAGCUCUUUCACCGAUGAAGAUAAUGACGGUAGUCGGAGAAGAAGCCCCGGCUAACUUCGUGCCAGCCGCCGCAGUAA